UACGAAGGGUGCAAGCGUUACUCGGAAUUACUGGGCGUAAAGCGUGCGUAGGUGGUUUGUUAAGUCUGAUGUGAAAGCCCUGGGCUCAACCUGGGAACUGCAUUGGAAACUGGCUUACUAGAGUGCGGUAGAGGGGUGUGGAAUUCCCGGUGUAGCAGUGAAAUGCGUAGAUAUCGGAAGGAACAUCAGUGGCGAAAGCGACUUCCUGGACCAGUACCGACGUUCAGGCACGAAAGCGUGGGGAGCAAACAGG
Molecule: ribosomal RNA, 253 nt
Filed under: uncultured bacterium
Lineage: Bacteria
Description: partial 16S ribosomal RNA
Rfam family: Bacterial small subunit ribosomal RNA
Source: RNAcentral